This is a long non-coding RNA of Oncorhynchus keta (chum salmon), 1387 nucleotides long. RefSeq lists it as uncharacterized. The record is from RefSeq and is a predicted model, not a curated record. The transcript is spliced from 4 exons. Lineage: Eukaryota; Metazoa; Chordata; Actinopteri; Salmoniformes; Salmonidae.
UGGGAGAGGAAGAAAAGAGAAAGAUAGAAGAGAGGGGAGGGGGAGCAGAUUGAGAGAGAGGAUUGAGAGAGAGCGAGCGAGGAAGCGGAUUGAGAGAGAGGGAACGGAUUGAGAGAGAGGGAUUGAGAGAGAGAGAGAGAGAGGUAGCGAGAGAGAGGCAGCGAGAGGUAGCGAGAGAGAGAGUGAGAGGUAGCGAGAGAGAGAGAGUGAGAGGUAGCGAGAGAGAGAGAGGUAGCGAGAGAGAGAGAGAGAGAGAGAGGUAGCGAGAGAGAGAGAGGUAGCGAGAGAGAGACAGAGAGAGAGACAGAGAGAGAGAGAGGUAGCGAGAGAGAGGUAGCGAGAGAGAGAGGUAGCGAGAGAGAGAGGUAGCGAGAGAGAGAGGUAGCGAGAGAGAGAGAGAGAGAGGUAGCGAGAGAGAGAGAGAGGUAGCGAGAGAGAGAGAGGGGUAGCGAGAGAGAGAGAGGGGUAGCUAGAGAGAGAGAGAGGUAGCGAGAGAGAGAGAGAGGUAGCGAGAGAGAGAGAGGUAGCGAGAGAGAGAGGUAGCGAGAGAGAGAGGUAGCGAGAGAGAGAGGUAGCGAGAGAGAGAGGUAGCGAGAGAGGUAGCGAGAGAGAGAGGUAGCGAGAUAGGUAGCGAGAGAGAGGUAGCGAGAGAGAGAGAGGUAGCGAGAGAGAGAGGUAGCGAGAGAGAGAGGUAGCGAGAGAGAGAGGUAGCGAGAGAGGUAGCGAGAGAGAGAGGUAGCGAGAGAGGUAGCGAGAGAGAGGUAGCGAGAGAGAGAGGUAGCGAGAGAGAGAGGUAGCGAGAGAGAGAGGUAGCGAGAGAGAGAGGUAGCGAGAGAGGUAGCGAGAGAGGUAGCGAGAGAGGUAGCAAGAGAGGUAGCGAGAGAGGUAGCAAGAGAGAGGUAGCGAGAGAGAGAGGUAGCGAGAGAGAGAGAGAGAGAGAGGUAGCGAGAGAGAGGGAGAGAGAGAGAGAGAAAGGUAGCGAGAGAGAGAGAGGUAGCGAGAGAGAGAGAGAGGUAGCGAGAGAGAGAGAGAGGUAGCGAGAGAGAGAGAGAGAGGUAGCGAGAGAGAGAGAGAGGUAGCGAGAGAGAGGUAGCGAGAGAGAGGUAGCGAGAGAGAGAGAGGUAGCGAGAGAGAGAGAGGUAGCGAGAGGUAGCGAGAGAGAGAGAGGUAGCGAGAGAGACAGGUAGCGAGAGAGAGGUAGCGAAAGAGAGGUAGCGAGAGAGAGAUAGCGAGAGAGAGAGGGAGGUAGCGAGAGAGAGAGAGGUAGCGAGAGAGAGAGAGAGUGGGCGAGAGAGAGAGGUAGCGAGAGAGAGAGAGUGGGCGAGAGAGAGAGGUAGCGAGAGAGAGAGAGUGGGCGAGAGAGAGGUAGCGAGGAGAGAGAGAGGUA